This 3600-nucleotide unclassified non-coding RNA is filed under the name Leishmania donovani. RNAcentral's name for it is "gene:unknown". The record is from RNAcentral. Lineage: Eukaryota; Euglenozoa; Kinetoplastea; Trypanosomatida; Trypanosomatidae.
AGCGCAAGUGUUCGCACACACACACACACACACACACACACAUACGUCAUCCGUCAUCCGUCUCGCACGGGCGCAUCGUGCACGCUCAGCGCACGGCGGAGGCAAACAGAAAAAAUAGACUAGCUCAUUGCCCGUAUACUAGCAACGCUGAAUGCUUGACUGCGUAUCCUUCCUCCCUCGAAAAAAAAAAGCGCAGUCGGCUCGGCCCACUAACGCACAAAAAUACAGCUAAAUUUUUUUCUCUUUGCGUACGCACGUGGCGCCUGCUUCUUCAGCCCUUUCCACAACAGAGUCCUUUAUACAUUAUAUAUAUAUAUAUUAUGUAUAUGUGUUUUUUUUUCUCUUUUUCAUAGCCUGCCUGCUUAACACUUUGUGCCCUUUUUUUUUUGGAUUUCUUUGCACGAAGCAUCUCUCCAUCAGCCUCUUUCCUCCCUCCUUCUCUGUCUUGGGGACGCAUGUGGGCGCCUUUUUUCUUACUUUCCUCCCUCUACUUCCUUGUUUUUCUUUUUUGUUUGUGCCGCCUUCGUGGUUGGCUCCAUUUCUCAUCUCCUUUUCCUUCUCCGAAAGCGUUGGCGACGUAACCGCAAGUUUAUAUAUAAGUAUAUAUAUAUAUAUUGUUAGUACUACUGCGUUUUCCGUGGUCAUUUUCUUGAACCACCCACAGAAGUGGAUAGCAGCGAAAACGAACAAACACGAACGAAAAGGACGACAAAUAAAUAAAAACAGCACCACCAACCACGUACACGUACGAACGCACUCGAAACCGUGAAGCCCUCGUUUCCGUCUGUUUGCUUGUUUUUCUUUUGUUGUUUCUUUGCAUGCUCCUCUCGUCUUUCAUUGUCUGCUUCCUGCGUCUCCUUCCUCCGUCGGCGAAGCUCUCAAGACGCCCUACUUCUUUUUUCUUUCGGUUUCUUACGUUCGUUUUUUUUUAGACUUACCCAGCGACUCGGUUCUUCGUCAUCAUCUGUUCUUUUCUUGUUUCAUCCUCUGUGCUCUUCAACGAUCUUCUUCUUACCCCUCCAUCUCGCUUCUCGGGUUGGAUGUGUGGGUCGAGGGAAAAGGCCCUUCAAGUGAAUUUUAAGAGGUAGUCGUGGAUGCACAUGUGCGCCGUGUUGAAGGCUCACGCAUCAGGCACGCCUAUUUUCACCCUCGCUUGUUCCUUUCCGACCCCUCUCUUCUAGGUGUUGGAUACGCGUGCUUGUUUAAUCCCUUCGCUCACUCCUCUCGUUGCUAUUCUUCGUUGCUCUUCUCCCUUCAAGCUCUUUCUUCGGUUUUGCCAUCAGCAUCAUUAACAUCAUCACAAAAUCUUCUAUCACCACCGCCUGUCGCGGCUCCUGCACGGAUACGGCGAAGAGGCGGGUUGGCGACUUCUUUGCACGCAUCAAGACCGUGGAAGCGGGUCUCCUCCCCUCCAUGGUUUCAGUGCCGUGGCGAGAAAAAGAACCGAUUCGUUUUAGAGUUAAGAGAAAUCAUUUUUAGAAGAAAACGAGAAGAGCAGAGGAGCCGCAUUCAAGAGAGCACUGAAAACGGCUGCAGAGGCAUACAAGUAAACGGUAGCUUGAAAAACAAGUAUCAUUUAACGAAGAGAUACAAAGCCGACAUUCUGCUUUUUUUUCUGUUCCCUCCUCUCUGUAUUGGGUUGUGUCUUCCUCUCCGCAUUACUAUCGACUUAUAUUUCCGACGCGUCUUUCGUUUUCUUGUGGAAUUCCUCGUCGACGUUGCUGAGACAACUCUGCUUCUUUCCUUCCUUCCUCGUCGUGCUUCACUUUGUUGAUCGUUUUUUUUUUUGCUUUCUUGAUCUCGCGCGUGUGUCUGUGUGUGUGUGUUCCCGGAAUUGUCUUUUUGGCCUCAUCCUUUUUUGUGUCGUUGCUCUUUCUGGUGCUCUGGACACGUCGGUCGUUGCGAGCUGUGUGUGUGCGUGUGCAACUUUUUUUUACCCCUCACUCUUUUAUCUCUCGGCUCUACGCUGCUUUUUCCCCGUCUCGUCUCAUUUCUGUUUGUUCGCGCAGUUCCCGAGUGGAAGUGAGGCCGACGAACAUGUAUGCACACAAGUAAGAUCACAUCUACUGCCAUUGUUGCUGUUGCGUGUUUCUAUUAGUACAACCACUGCGCUGUGCGUAAGCUACCCCCUCCCUCCCCCUCCUUGUCUUUGUGCCCCACAUUUGUAUUUUCGCCAUCCUUUUCCGUAUAUAUACUUUUUUUUUUCAGGUUGCAUUUUGCGUUCUCUUUCCUAUUUUUUGUUUCUUCUCGUGUGCUUGGGUAUGUGUGUGUGCGCGCCGCCUGCGUCAUUCUGUGCGUUCGUCUUGCAUCUUCGCAGGUCUCCUCCCUUUGCGCGUUUCAGUGAAUCACAGGACGAAGAAAAAAACGGCAGAGAAGAAGGGCCGCUGUCAUUGUGCUCAUCACAAGAUUCGUCAGAGAAGACGCGCGCAGCACAAAAGCACAGCAGACGCGUUCAGCUUUCUGCACACUAUCGCGCUCUAGGUCUUUUUGUUGCUCAAGUCGUUGUGUGGAAGGAAGGCAGGUGCUGUUUUCGAUCGAGUCUCUGCGGUGUCUCUUGCCACACACACACGCACGCACACGCCCACUUCGUCGUGAAGCGAAAUCGCGUUUUAUUUUGUGCUCGCUUUUUGCCGCGCGUCACUUUGAUUGGCCGCCGCGGAUUUGCCGAGUGCCCACCUGCUGCAAGCAAAGCGCAGUGCCGGUGCCCGUCUUUUGUGUGAGUGUCUUUGCGGCGGACACUCCGCAUCGGCAAGCCUCGCCACACCAGUGCACACGCCAAAGCUAUUUCACACAUCAAGACUACACGCUCUUGUGUCGCAGCAGCAGGACGCAGACAGUAUCGUUUUUUUUUUUCCCCCGCUACCGGCUCCCUAUCCUGCUUCACCUUUUCCGCUGACCAUUUUGUCAUCGCUGCUGUUGCCAUCUCUGCACUCCUCACGCCUUUAUCUUUCUCUUCCGCGCCUCUGUCGUGGCGGUUUUUGCUUUCAAUACGCCUGUAGCUGUUUCUUGAUCCGUGUUUCCGCUUCCUCUUGCCCUGUGCCCAUCUGUUUGUGUGUACGGAGAACUUUUCCCGUCACCAUCAGUCGUGCUGCUGUCUCGCCUUUGUCGCUCACCUUUUUUUUCUACUUUGUUUCACUGUUUCACGCUUCUGGUCUGUUGCCGUGCUUUCGGAGUUCUACGCCGAUCCUCUCUCCUUACGACCCCUUCGAAUCCCCCUGCUGUUUCUAUACACACGACCGCGCUUUUCCACAUCAUUGCCCCGACGGCUUCUGAUCUUCACUUUCCGUUUCCUUUGCAUUGUUGUUGUUGCUUUCCAUCGCCUCCUCUUUUGGUGGUUGUGUGCGCGUCAUUGAUCAGUUCUGCUUUAUCAUUCUUAUUUUUUUUUUUUGCCGUUCGCCACCACGUUACCAGGGUUACUGCUUUCCUUCGCCUCGUCACGGAGGAGCUCGUCGUCGUCGGUGCUCUAGUAGCUUUCCUCUCGUUGUUUGCUUGUCGUUAUUGCCGGCUGCUUCCUCGGCAUUGUUGUCUGCCUCUGCAGGCGUGUCUGUGUGCCGCUUGCAUAAGGUGCCUCUCCCCUGUUCUUUUACCACCCGCAGACAC